Molecule: ribosomal RNA, 646 nt
Filed under: uncultured Actinomycetes bacterium
Lineage: Bacteria; Bacillati; Actinomycetota; Actinomycetes
Description: bacterial SSU rRNA
Rfam family: Bacterial small subunit ribosomal RNA
Source: RNAcentral
UCGCGGCCUAUCAGCUUGUUGGUGAGGUAGCGGCUCACCAAGGCAACGACGGGUAGCUGGUCUGAGAGGACGAUCAGCCACACUGGGACUGAGACACGGCCCAGACUCCUACGGGAGGCAGCAGCAGGGAAUAUUGCACAAUGGGCGAAAGCCUGAUGCAGCGACGCCGCGUGAGGGAUGAAGGCCUUCGGGUUGUAAACCUCUUUCAGGAGGGAAGAAGCGAAAGUGACGGUACCUCCACAAGAAGCCCCGGCCAACUACGUGCCAGCAGCCGCGGUAAUACGUAGGGGGCAAGCGUUGUCCGGAUUCAUUGGGCGUAAAGAGCUCGUAGGCGGCUCAGCAAGUCGGUCGUGAAAGCCCGGGGCUCAACCCCGGGACGCCGAUCGAAACUGCUGUGGCUAGGGUCCGGUAGAGGAGAGUGGAAUUCCCGGUGUAGCGGUGAAAUGCGCAGAUAUCGGGAGGAACACCAGUAGCGAAGGCGGCUCUCUGGGCCGGCACCGACGCUGAGGAGCGAAAGCUAGGGGAGCAAACAGGAUUAGAUACCCUGGUAGUCCUAGCCGUAAACGUUGGGCACUAGGUGUGGCGGACUCAUUGACGUCUGCCGUGCCGCAGCAAACGCAUUAAGUGCCCCGCCUGGGGAGUACGG